GACGAACGCUGGCGGCGUGCUUAACACAUGCAAGUCGAACGGUGAACCACUUCGGUGGGGAUCAGUGGCGAACGGGUGAGUAACACGUGGGCAACCUGCCCCUAGCUCUGGGAUAACCUCGGGAAACCGAGGCUAAUACCGGAUAUGACUCCGAGCGGCAUCACUCGGAGUGGAAAGUUUUUCGGCUAGGGAUGGGCCCGCGGCCUAUCAGCUUGUUGGUGGGGUAACGGCCUACCAAGGCGA
This 243-nucleotide ribosomal RNA is filed under the name uncultured Actinomycetes bacterium. RNAcentral describes it as "uncultured actinobacterium partial 16S ribosomal RNA". It matches the Rfam family "Bacterial small subunit ribosomal RNA", at positions 28 to 276 of the family's 1533-position model. The record is from RNAcentral. Lineage: Bacteria; Bacillati; Actinomycetota; Actinomycetes.